Molecule: transfer RNA, 76 nt
Filed under: Marinobacter sp.
Lineage: Bacteria; Pseudomonadati; Pseudomonadota; Gammaproteobacteria; Pseudomonadales; Marinobacteraceae
Description: tRNA-Lys
Rfam family: tRNA
About the family: Transfer RNA (tRNA) molecules are approximately 80 nucleotides in length. Their secondary structure includes four short double-helical elements and three loops (D, anti-codon, and T loops).
Source: RNAcentral
GGGUCGUUAGCUCAGUUGGUAGAGCAGUUGGCUUUUAACCACUUGGUCGAAGGUUCGAAUCCUUCACGACCCACCA